AGAGUUUGAUCCUGGCUCAGGAUGAACGCUAGCGAUAGGCCUAACACAUGCAAGUCGAGGGGCAGCACAUGAAGUAGCAAUACUGAUGGUGGCGACCGGCGCACGGGUGAGUAACGCGUAUGCAACCUACCUACAACAGGGGAAUAACUCGUUGAAAGACGGACUAAUACCCCAUAAUACAGGGAUCCCGCAUGGGAAUAUUUGUUAAAGAUUUAUCGGUUGUAGAUGGGCAUGCGUUCCAUUAGCUAGUUGGUGAGGUAACGGCUCACCAAGGCAACGAUGGAUAGGGGAACUGAGAGGUUUAUCCCCCACACUGGUACUGAGACACGGACCAGACUCCUACGGGAGGCAGCAGUGAGGAAUAUUGGUCAAUGGACGCAAGUCUGAACCAGCCACGUCGCGUGAAGGAAGACGGCCCUACGGGUUGUAAACUUCUUUUGUAAGGGAAUAAAGUGAGCCACGUGUGGCUUUUUGCAUGUACCUUACGAAUAAGGAUCGGCUAACUCCGUGCCAGCAGCCGCGGUAAUACGGAGGAUCCGAGCGUUAUCCGGAUUUAUUGGGUUUAAAGGGUGCGCAGGCGGGAGAUUAAGUCGGCGGUGAAAUUUUGCAGCUCAACUGUAAAAGUGCCUUCGAAACUGGUUUCCUUGAGUGUAGAUGAAGUAGGCGGAAUUUGUGGUGUAGCGGUGAAAUGCAUAGAUAUCACGAGGAACUCCGAUUGCGCAGGCAGCUUACUAAACUACUACUGACGCUCAGGCACGAAGGCGUGGGGAUCAAACAGGAUUAGAUACCCUGGUAGUCCACGCAGUAAACGAUGGUUACUAGCUGUUUGCGAUACAAUGUAAGCGGCUGAGCGAAAGC
This 858-nucleotide ribosomal RNA is filed under the name uncultured bacterium. RNAcentral's name for it is "bacterial SSU rRNA". It matches the Rfam family "Bacterial small subunit ribosomal RNA", at positions 8 to 858 of the family's 1533-position model. The record is from RNAcentral.